GACGAACGCUGGCGGCGUGCUUAACACAUGCAAGUCGAACGGAAAGGCCCUGCUAUUGUGGGGUGCUCGAGUGGCGAACGGGUGAGUAACACGUGAGUAACCUGCCCUUGACUUUGGGAUAACUUCAGGAAACUGGGGCUAAUACCGGAUAUGAGCUCCUGCUGCAUGGUGGGGGGGGGAAAGUUUCGGCGGUUGGGGAUGGACUCGCGGCUUAUCAGCUUGUUGGUGGGGUAGUGGCUUACCAAGGCUUUGACGGGUAGCCGGCCUGAGAGGGUGACCGGCCACAUGGGGACAGAGAUACGGCCCAGACUCCUACGGGAGGCAGAAGUGGGGAAUAUUGAACAAUGGGCGGCAGCCUGAUGCAGCAACGCCGCGUGCGGGAUGACGGCCUUCGGGUUGUAAACCGCUUUCGCCUGUGACGAAGCGUGAGUGACGGUAAUGGGUAAAGAAGCACGGGCUAACUACGUG
This 468-nucleotide ribosomal RNA is filed under the name uncultured bacterium. RNAcentral describes it as "partial 16S ribosomal RNA". It matches the Rfam family "Bacterial small subunit ribosomal RNA", at positions 28 to 507 of the family's 1533-position model. The record is from RNAcentral.